RNAcentral lists this long non-coding RNA (531 nucleotides) under Anas platyrhynchos platyrhynchos (common mallard). Its description in RNAcentral is "lncRNA (ENSAPLG00000028820.1)". The record is from RNAcentral. Lineage: Eukaryota; Metazoa; Chordata; Aves; Anseriformes; Anatidae.
CUACCCCUGCCCCAUAGCUUCCCCCUGACCCAUAGCUAGUUCUGACCCACAGUUAGCUCAGCCCCACAGCUCUCCCUGACCCAUAGCUCUCUCCUGCCCCACAGCUAGCUCUGCCCCACAGCUCUCCCUGCCCCACAACUAGCUUAGCCCCAUAGCUCUCUCCUGCCCCAUAGCUACCCCUGCCCCAUAGCCAGCUCCUGCCCCAUAGCUCUCCCCUACCCCACAGCUUCCCCCUGCCCCAUAGCUCUCUCUGCCCCAUACCCAGGCUCCCCCAUUUCUUGGUCCGUGCUGGAGCUUUGGGCUCAGUUCUGGAGAUUUUGGGUCCGGGGAGGAUCCCCUGGGAUCGCUCAGGAGUUUUUGGGUCCAAAAAGGAGAUUUUUGGGUCCGUCUCAGAGUCCUUCCAAUCCUGCUGGCAUUUUGGGGUCCAUCCUGGACGUUUUGGGACCGUGAUAAGAUUUUGGGUCCAUAAUGGAGAUUUUUGGGUCCAUAAUGGAGUUUUUGGGUCCAUAAUGGAGAUUUUUGGUCCAUCCU